CAUGCAAGUCGAGCGAACAGAUAAGGAGCUUGCUCCUUUGACGUUAGCGGCGGACGGGUGAGUAACACGUGGGUAACCUACCUAUAAGACUGGAAUAACUCCGGGAAACCGGGGCUAAUGCCGGAUAACAUUUAGAACCGCAUGGUUCUAAAGUGAAAGAUGGUUUUGCUAUCACUUAUAGAUGGACCCGCGCCGUAUUAGCUAGUUGGUAAGGUAAUGGCUUACCAAGGCAACGAUACGUAGCCGACCUGAGAGGGUGAUCGGCCACACUGGAACUGAGACACGGUCCAGACUCCUACGGGAGGCAGCAGUAGGGAAUCUUCCGCAAUGGGCGAAAGCCUGACGGAGCAACGCCGCGUGAGUGAUGAAGGGUUUCGGCUCGUAAAACUCUGUUAUUAGGGAAGAACAAACGUGUAAGUAACUGUGCACGUCUUGACGGUACCUAAUCAGAAAGCCACGGCUAACUACGUGCCAGCAGCCGCGGUAAUACGUAGGUGGCAAGCGUUAUCCGGAAUUAUUGGGCGUAAAGCGCGCGUAGGCGGUUUCUUAAGUCUGAUGUGAAAGCCCACGGCUCAACCGUGGAGGGUCAUUGGAAACUGGGAGACUUGAGUGCAGAAGAGGAAAGUGGAAUUCCAUGUGUAGCGGUGAAAUGCGCAGAGAUAUGGAGGAACACCAGUGGCGAAGGCGACUUUCUGGUCUGUAACUGACGCUGAUGUGCGAAAGCGUGGGGAUCAAACAGGAUUAGAUACCCUGGUAGUCCACGCCGUAAACGAUGAGUGCUAAGUGUUAGGGGGUUUCCGCCCCUUAGUGCUGCAGCUAACGCAUUAAGCACUCCGCCUGGGGAGUACGACCGCAAGGUUGGAAACUCAAAGGAAUUGACGGGGACCCGCACAAGCGGUGGAGCAUGUGGUUUAAUUCGAAGCAACGCGAAGAACCUUACCAAAUCUUGACAUCCUUUGACCACUCUAGAGAUAGAGUUUUCCCCUUCGGGGGACAAAGUGACAGGUGGUGCAUGGUUGUCGUCAGCUCGUGUCGUGAGAUGUUGGGUUAAGUCCCGCAACGAGCGCAACCCUUAAACUUAGUUGCCAGCAUUUAGUUGGGCACUCUAGGUUGACUGCCGGUGACAAACCGGAGGAAGGUGGGGAUGACGUCAAAUCAUCAUGCCCCUUAUGAUUUGGGCUACACACGUGCUACAAUGGACAAUACAAAGGGCAGCUAAACCGCGAGGUCAUGCAAAUCCCAUAAAGUUGUUCUCAGUUCGGAUUGUAGUCUGCAACUCGACUACAUGAAGCUGGAAUCGCUAG
Molecule: ribosomal RNA, 1304 nt
Filed under: Staphylococcus arlettae
Lineage: Bacteria; Bacillati; Bacillota; Bacilli; Caryophanales; Staphylococcaceae
Description: bacterial SSU rRNA
Rfam family: Bacterial small subunit ribosomal RNA
Source: RNAcentral